GCCAUGAGGGCGGGAACCCUCGUACGCGGAAGUUCAUGAGGGCGGGACCCUCGUACGCGGAAGGUCAUGAGGGCGGGACCCUCGUACGCGGAAGUUCAUGCGGGCGGGACCCUCGUACGUGGAAGGUCAUGAGGGCGGGACCCUCGUACGUGGAAGGUCAUGAGGGCGGAACCCUGGUACAUGAAAUUCGUUCUCUUAUUUAAGAGACAAAGAACGCCCUUGUUUUUUCCACCACGUGAUGGCGCAGACAGAAGACAACCAGCAUCUAUGAACCAGGAAGCCCCCACCAGGCACUGAAUCUGCCCCUGCGUGGAUCUUAGACUUGCAGACUCCAGAACUAACCUUACAAUGUCUCUUCUCCAUUAAGAAAACCUACUUCAACAUCUCCAUUGGUUCUCAACAUAGAGAUUCUCUUAAUUUAAAGGAUCCAACGCAAUGACCAAUCUCCAAUUGUCAAAUAUUGAGUGUCCAAAUUUUGGUCUGGAGCCAGAGACAAUAUAGGAUGAAGUUUGAUUUGUUCCAAAACCCACAGAAAUCUCUAAAAUGGAAGAAUUUUCUUAGAACCAAAAGGCAUGGAAUUGAUGACAUGAAACUGCCUGAGCUUCUCAGCUGACCUGUGAUGGAGUGUUGUGCCCAAGUGGAAAGUUCUUCUUUCUUUCAGAGACAUAUCAUUCACCAUAAAAUACAACCAGAGACUUCAAAAUUACUCCAGGCUAGAAGGACACUCCAAUUAGGGGAAAAGUAACCUAUGGGCAAACCAUCUUCCGUAAGAGUUCAAGGACAAAAAACUACUGAUGUUGUAAUAACAUUGAAACUUAAUGUUUUGGGCAAUCCUUAAGUGAUUUAUUUGGAGUGUCCCAGUCAUUUUAGACCUCUUCACCUUACAAUGUAUUGUGUGAGAUUAUAUUUCCAUGCACCUAAUUUUAAAAUAAAUUUAUUUAGGUAGAUGUAGAGACAUAUUACUGUGAUAAAGCAGUUCAUACCAAAUAAAAUUUAGCUAA
Molecule: long non-coding RNA, 1001 nt
Filed under: Homo sapiens (human)
Lineage: Eukaryota; Metazoa; Chordata; Mammalia; Primates; Hominidae
Description: HSALNT0324843
Source: RNAcentral